GCUGAACGCUGGCGGUAUGCUUAACACAUGCAAGUCGAACGGACUCUUCGGAGUUAGUGGCGGACGGGUGAGUAACGCGUGAGAAUCUGGCUUUGGGUUCGGGACAACCACUGGAAACGGUGGCUAAUACCGGAUGUGCCGAGAGGUAAAAGAGAAAUUGCCUGAAGAUGAGCUCGCGUCUGAUUAGCUAGUUGGUGAGGUAAAGGCUCACCAAGGCAGCGAUCAGUAGCUGGUCUGAGAGGAUGACCAGCCACACUGGGACUGAGACACGGCCCAGACUCCUACGGGAGGCAGCAGUGGGGAAUUUUCCGCAAUGGGCGAAAGCCUGACGGAGCAAUACCGCGUGAGGGAAGAAGGCUCUUGGGUUGUAAACCUCUUUUCUUAGGGAAGAACAAAAUGACGGUACCUAAGGAAUCAGCAUCGGCUAACUCCGUG
RNAcentral lists this ribosomal RNA (435 nucleotides) under uncultured bacterium. RNAcentral describes it as "partial 16S ribosomal RNA". It matches the Rfam family "Bacterial small subunit ribosomal RNA", at positions 28 to 507 of the family's 1533-position model. The record is from RNAcentral.